UCUGAGAGCAGUGGAGCUUGGGGCGGGGAACAAAAACCAGGAAAAUGUUGAUUUAGUCUAUAAUAGCCACAAAUCGAUUUUCCUUGAUGAAGUGGAGAGUCAGGAAUUAUCUGCAUCAAAUCAGCAAGGAUUUUAUGCAAAUGAAUGCAGAAUUAGAAUAGCAAAGUUCAACUUGAUGACAUUGGUCUUAUUUUUUGCAUAUUAGUCAAUAGUUGCUAAGUUAACAAUUUUCCCUUUCCUUUGGCAUCUUUAUUUAUAAUAAAGUUAUUUAUACAUGCACACAAGUACAAACUUACCCAUUGGGUACUGAAAUUAAAUCCCAGCAAGGCUUUAUUUUUAUUUACUGCUUCCUCCAAUAAAUGUACAUCUUUCAAAUCUCUGCAGAGCUGCAUCGAUUCCUGAAGUAUCAUCUCCCAGUUUAUUGAGUACAAGUGGUGACUGAUUGUCCCCUGACACUUCAGCAAGGACUUCAACAUACAAGAAACAAGUUUUAAAUAGGCUACGACUUUAUUAAGGCUGUGCUGAUCCCAUGGAGUCCUCACCAUAAAAAGUUGCCCAGUGAUGCUCCAGAAGAGUUAAUCAGCAAGUUGACAUCACCUGGAAUGGAAAUUUCUGGAGCUGAAUAUUCCCCUUGUUCCAGGACUUCAGGGCUGACAAUAUUUACAAACUCUGAGCUCAAGGAGAGGUAAAAGUUACUCAUGCUGGGAAUGCUCAGCCUCACCCAGCAACACCUGGCAGGAAAAGGUGACCAUUCCAGGGGAGAAGAAACCAAAUAUUGACAGCAAAUUUGUUGUUACCAGGCUGGCAGAGCCGUGUCCUUCCGAUGACGGAUCUCUCUGAUGCUCUGUUUACCUGCCCUUCAUCUGCUCCAAGGCUAACAGAGGACAGGUAUGAGCUGAUUGAUCAUAAAACCCAUUAACUGAGAUUUGUGCUGCCUUCAGUUCCCUCCAAGGAAGAGCAGGAAUCACUGAGGAUUGCAGGGAGCAGACUCUGUAAAGGCUUUUUCGGAUUCCAGGUCUCUGUGCAGGAGGUUCAAAUAGCAGGGAAAACACCUCCUGAGGGAAUGCAGGAACACAGAAGAUGCAAAGUGUGUCCAGAUCUUUGUUUUGGAGAAGAAAUUGCAUUUCUGGCAAGCAGCAGAGAUCAAAUCAGGCAGCAAGAGCCUGGCUGCCCCAGUCUAAGAAGGGCAACGAGAGUCAAGGGAGAUCAAUAAAUUUUGGGAUACACUCGAGCUCUCAGUCUAUUUAUUAAAGAUCAAUUUUUGUGAUAUCAUUGAUCCCCUGCACACUGGGAUUGUCAUCCUCACUCAGGAGCAGCUGAAAUUCAAUCCUUUCUUCUCCAUCUCUCUGUGGAUUAAACCCUGGGACACACAUAAUAGACACUCUCUGGGAAGAUAAUGUGCCUCUGGUAAUAG
Molecule: non-coding RNA, 1414 nt
Organism: Taeniopygia guttata (zebra finch)
Lineage: Eukaryota; Metazoa; Chordata; Aves; Passeriformes; Estrildidae
Source: RefSeq, a predicted model, not a curated record